Molecule: ribosomal RNA, 260 nt
Filed under: uncultured bacterium
Lineage: Bacteria
Description: partial 16S ribosomal RNA
Rfam family: Bacterial small subunit ribosomal RNA
Source: RNAcentral
UGCGCCCUACGGGGGGCAGCAGUGGGGAAUAUUGGGCAAUGGGCGCAAGCCUGACCCAGCAACGCCGCGUGAAGGAAGAAGGCUUUCGGGUUGUAAACUUCUUUUCUCAGGGACGAAGAAAGUGACGGUACCUGAGGAAUAAGCCACGGCUAACUACGUGCCAGCAGCCGCGGUAAUACGUAGGUGGCAAGCGUUAUCCGGAUUUACUGGGUGUAAAGGGCGUGUAGGCGGGGAAGCAAGUCAGAUGUGAAAACCACGGG